UGCAGUCGAGCGGAUGAAGGGAGCUUGCUCCUGGAUUCAGCGGCGGACGGGUGAGUAAUGCCUAGGAAUCUGCCUGGUAGUGGGGGAUAACGUCCGGAAACGGGCGCUAAUACCGCAUACGUCCUGAGGGAGAAAGUGGGGGAUCUUCGGACCUCACGCUAUCAGAUGAGCCUAGGUCGGAUUAGCUAGUUGGUGGGGUAAAGGCCUACCAAGGCGACGAUCCGUAACUGGUCUGAGAGGAUGAUCAGUCACACUGGAACUGAGACACGGUCCAGACUCCUACGGGAGGCAGCAGUGGGGAAUAUUGGACAAUGGGCGAAAGCCUGAUCCAGCCAUGCCGCGUGUGUGAAGAAGGUCUUCGGAUUGUAAAGCACUUUAAGUUGGGAGGAAGGGCAGUAAGUUAAUACCUUGCUGUUUUGACGUUACCAACAGAAUAAGCACCGGCUAACUUCGUGCCAGCAGCCGCGGUAAUACGAAGGGUGCAAGCGUUAAUCGGAAUUACUGGGCGUAAAGCGCGCGUAGGUGGUUCAGCAAGUUGGAUGUGAAAUCCCCGGGCUCAACCUGGGAACUGCAUCCAAAACUACUGAGCUAGAGUACGGUAGAGGGUGGUGGAAUUUCCUGUGUAGCGGUGAAAUGCGUAGAUAUAGGAAGGAACACCAGUGGCGAAGGCGACCACCUGGACUGAUACUGACACUGAGGUGCGAAAGCGUGGGGAGCAAACAGGAUUAGAUAC
This 733-nucleotide ribosomal RNA is filed under the name Pseudomonas fluorescens. Its description in RNAcentral is "bacterial SSU rRNA". It matches the Rfam family "Bacterial small subunit ribosomal RNA", at positions 56 to 785 of the family's 1533-position model. Lineage: Bacteria; Pseudomonadati; Pseudomonadota; Gammaproteobacteria; Pseudomonadales; Pseudomonadaceae. The record is from RNAcentral.